This 124-nucleotide microRNA precursor is filed under the name Hordeum vulgare. RNAcentral describes it as "microRNA MIR1122". It matches the Rfam family "MIR1120/MIR1122 microRNA precursor family". Lineage: Eukaryota; Viridiplantae; Streptophyta; Magnoliopsida; Poales; Poaceae. The record is from RNAcentral.
AUUCUACUCCUUCCGUCCGGAAAUACUUGUCCUAGGAAUGGAUGAAUCUAGACUUAUUUUAAUUAUAGAUACAUCAAAUAUAUUUAUUUUUAGGACAAGUAUUUUCGGACGGAGGGAGUAUGAA